Molecule: ribosomal RNA, 253 nt
Filed under: uncultured bacterium
Lineage: Bacteria
Description: partial 16S ribosomal RNA
Rfam family: Bacterial small subunit ribosomal RNA
Source: RNAcentral
UACAGAGGGUGCGAGCGUUGUCCGGAAUCACUGGGCGUAAAGGGCGCGUAGGUGGCGGGCCAAGUCAGUGGUGAAAGCUCGAUGCUCAACAUCGAGUCGGCCACUGAUACUGGUUUGCUUGAGCACUGUAGAGGCAGAUGGAAUUCCGGGUGUAGCGGUGAAAUGCGCAGAUAUCAGGAGGAACACCGGUGGCGAAGGCGGGUCUCUGGGCCGAUACUGACGCUGAGGAGCGAAAGCGUGGGGAGCGAACAGG